RNAcentral lists this ribosomal RNA (497 nucleotides) under uncultured bacterium. RNAcentral's name for it is "partial 16S ribosomal RNA". It matches the Rfam family "Bacterial small subunit ribosomal RNA", at positions 28 to 507 of the family's 1533-position model. The record is from RNAcentral.
GAUGAACGCUGGCGGCGUGCCUAAUACAUGCAAGUCGAGCGAACAGACGAGGAGCUUGCUCCUCUGACGUUAGCGGCGGACGGGUGAGUAACACGUGGAUAACCUACCUAUAAGACUGGGAUAACUUCGGGAAACCGGAGCUAAUACCGGAUAAUAUAUUGAACCGCAUGGUUCAAUAGUGAAAGACGGUUUUGCUGUCACUUAUAGAUGGAUCCGCGCCGCAUUAGCUAGUUGGUAAGGUAACGGCUUACCAAGGCAACGAUGCGUAGCCGACCUGAGAGGGUGGUCGGCCACACUGGAACUGAGACACGGACCAGACUCCUACGGGAGGCAGCAGUAGCGAAUCUUCCGCAAUGGGCGAAAGCCUGACGGAGCAACGCCGCGUGAGUGAUGAAGGUCUUCGGAUCGUAAAACUCUGUUAUUAGGGAAGAACAAAUGUGUAAGUAACUAUGCACGUCUUGACGGUACCUAAUCAGAAAGCCACGGCUAACUACGUG